Molecule: ribosomal RNA, 233 nt
Filed under: uncultured bacterium
Lineage: Bacteria
Description: partial 16S ribosomal RNA
Rfam family: Bacterial small subunit ribosomal RNA
Source: RNAcentral
UGAGGAACAUGACCUUCGGCGGGGAUAGCCGGACCCAAACGGCCGGGUAAUACCGCGUACGACCACAUGGGGACAUCCCUGAGUGGUGAAAGCAGCAAUGCGCCGAUGGAGUGCCUCGCGGCCUAUCAGCUAGUUGGUGAGGUAACGGCUCACCAAGGCGACGACGGGUAGCUGGUCUGAGAGGAUGGCCAGCCACAUUGGGACUGAGACACGGCCCAGACCUNUACGGGAGG